This is a long non-coding RNA of Ictalurus punctatus (channel catfish), 743 nucleotides long. The record is from Ensembl. NCBI's taxonomy places the organism in Eukaryota, Metazoa, Chordata, Actinopteri, Siluriformes, Ictaluridae.
UUUGAUUAUAUAUGACACUUUGAAAUUUAGAAAUGACACUUUGCUACAAUGUAAAGUAGUGAGUGUACAGCUUGUGUAACAGUGCAAAUUUGCUGUCCCCUCAAAAUAACUCAACACACAGCCAUUAAUGCCUAAACCGCUGGCAACAAAAGUGAGUACAGAACACAAAUAUAUGUGUGUGUGUAAUGUACAUAUAGUACUGUGUAUAUAUGUGUGUGUGUGUGUGUGUAGUGUACAUAUAAUACUGUAUAUGUGUGUGUGUAGUGUACAUAUAAUACUGUGUAUAUGUGUGUGUGUGUGUAGUGUACAUAUAAUACUGUAUAUGUGUGUGUGUAGUGUACGUAUAAUACUGUAUGUGUGUGUGUAGUGUACAUAUAAUACUGUAUAUGUGUGUGUGUUGUACGUAUAAUACUGUAUAUGUGUGUGUGUGUAGUGUACAUAUAAUACUGUAUAUGUGUGUGUGUGUAGUGUACAUAUAAUACUGUAUAUGUGUGUGUGUGUAGUGUACAUAUAAUACUGUAUAUAUGUGUGUGUAGUGUAUGUAUAAUACUGUACAGUGAGGGAAAGAAGUAUUUGAUCCCCUGCUGAUUUUGUACGUUUGCCCACUGACAAAGAAAUGAUCAGUCUAUAAUUUUAAUGGUAGAUUUAUUUGAACAUUGAGAGACAGAAUAACAACAAAAAAUCCAGAAAAAUGCAUGUCAAAAAUGUUAUAAAUUGAUUUGCAUUUUAAUGAGGGAAAUAAG